Molecule: long non-coding RNA, 773 nt
Filed under: Cyanistes caeruleus (blue tit)
Lineage: Eukaryota; Metazoa; Chordata; Aves; Passeriformes; Paridae
Description: lncRNA (ENSCCEG00000019797.1)
Source: RNAcentral
UUUCACUGUUUUUUCAUUGUUUUUAUUAUUUUCAUUGUUUUCAAUUGUUUUUAUUAUUUUUAUUGUUUGUCUUUAUUGUGUUUUUUUAUUGUUUUUUAUAGUUUUCAUUGUUUUAUUGCUUUGAUUCUUCUUAUUAUUUAUUGUUUUCAUUAUUUUUAUUGUUUCUAUCAUUUUUCGUUGUUUUUCUUAAUUUUCAUUGCUUUUAUUAUUUUUUUAUUGGUUUUAUUGUUUUAUUUUUUAUUAUUUUUAUUGCACUCAGCCCCGCCCCCAAUCGCCCCUCCCCCAUCCGCAGUGGGCGGGGCCAAACGCGGAGGGGGCGGGGCCCGGAGCGGGUAAUUAACAUUUAAUUUAACUAAAGGCACCGAGGCCACGCCCCCGCGGGAAUUCCGGGGGCGGGGAUUUAAAGAAUCCUCUGGAAGGUUCCGGAACUUCCGGGUCAGGAAUCGGCCAAACGCAGCAGGGGCCCGGCGGGCGUGGGGACACUGAGCAGUCUCUGGUCCCCCAGCAGGUCGUGCAGCAGGAACGGGACCCCCAGCCCGGCCCCCGGGGGGGUCACACAGGGGUCACACAGGGGUCACUCAGGGGUCAGGGGUCACACAGGGGUCACACAGGGGUCACUCAGGGGUCACUCAGGGGUCAGAGGGGACACACAGGGAGGUCAGGGGUCACUCAGGGGUCACUCAGAGGUCACUCAGAGGUCAGAGGGGUCACUCAGUGUCACUCAGGGGUCAGAGGGGACACACAGGGAGGUCAGGGGUCACCCAGGGGCAACU